This 805-nucleotide ribosomal RNA is filed under the name uncultured Sporosarcina sp. RNAcentral describes it as "bacterial SSU rRNA". It matches the Rfam family "Bacterial small subunit ribosomal RNA", at positions 344 to 1142 of the family's 1533-position model. Lineage: Bacteria; Bacillati; Bacillota; Bacilli; Caryophanales; Caryophanaceae. The record is from RNAcentral.
GGAGGCAGCAGUAGGGAAUCUUCCUCAUGGACGAAAGUCUGAUGGAGCAACGCCGCGUGAGUGAAGAAGGUUUUCGGAUCGUAAAACUCUGUUGUAAGGGAAGAACACGUACGAGAGUAACUGCUCGUACCUUGACGGUACCUUAUUAGAAAGCCACGGCUAACUACGUGCCAGCAGCCGCGGUAAUACGUAGGUGGCAAGCGUUGUCCGGAAUUAUUGGGCGUAAAGCGCGCGCAGGCGGUCCUUUAAGUCUGAUGUGAAAGCCCACGGCUCAACCGUGGAGGGUCAUUGGAAACUGGGGGACUUGAGUACAGAAGAGGAAAGCGGAAUUCCACGUGUAGCGGUGAAAUGCGUAGAGAUGUGGAGGAACACCAGUGGCGAAGGCGGCUUUCUGGUCUGUAACUGACGCUGAGGCGCGAAAGCGUGGGGAGCAAACAGGAUUAGAUACCCUGUAGUCCACGCCGUAAACGAUGAGUGCUAAGUGUUAGGGGGUUUCCGCCCCUUAGUGCUGCAGCUAACGCAUUAAGCACUCCGCCUGGGGAGUACGGCCGCAAGGCUGAAACUCAAAGGAAUUGACGGGGGCCCGCACAAGCGGUGGAGCAUGUGGUUUAAUUCGAAGCAACGCGAAGAACCUUACCAGGUCUUGACAUCCCACUGACCGGCUUAGAGAUAAGUCUUUCCCUUCGGGGACAGUGGUGACAGGUGGUGCAUGGUUGUCGUCAGCUCGUGUCGUGAGAUGUUGGGUUAAGUCCCGCAACGAGCGCAACCCUUGAUCUUAGUUGCCAGCAUUUAGUUGGGCACUCUA